This 497-nucleotide ribosomal RNA is filed under the name uncultured bacterium. RNAcentral describes it as "partial 16S ribosomal RNA". It matches the Rfam family "Bacterial small subunit ribosomal RNA", at positions 28 to 507 of the family's 1533-position model. The record is from RNAcentral.
GAUGAACGCUGGCGUCGUGCCUAAUACAUGCAAGUCGAGCGAACGGACGAGAAGCUUGCUUCUCUGAUGUUAGCGGCGGACGGGUGAGUAACACGUGGAUAACCUACCUAUAAGACUGGGAUAACUUCGGGAAACCGGAGCUAAUACCGGAUGAUAUUUUGAACCGCAUGGUUCAAAAGUGAAAGACGGUCUUGCUGUCACUUAUAGAUGGAUCCGCGCUGCAUUAGCUAGUUGGUAAGGUAACGGCUUACCAAGGCAACGAUGCAUAGCCGACCUGAGAGGGUGAUCGGCCACACGGGAACUGAGACACGGUCCAGACUCCUACGGGAGGCAGCAGUAGGGAAUCUUCCGCAAUGGGCGAAAGCCUGACGGAGCAACGCCGCGUGAGUGAUGAAGGUCUUCUGAUCGUAAAACUCUGUUAUUAGGGAAGAACAUAUGUGUAAGUAACUGUGCACAUCUUGACGGUACCUAAUCAGAAAGCCACGGCUAACUACGUG